ACGACCUUACUUGAACAGGAUCUGUUCUGUAGGCUCGUACUUCUGUGUCUUUGAGUUUCAAGGAGACAAGAACAGCAACUUGGUUGAUGAGAUGGCCACUUGGUUGCCUGACAAGUU
Small nucleolar RNA from Prosopis cineraria, 117 nucleotides. RefSeq annotates it as small nucleolar RNA U3. The record is from RefSeq and is a predicted model, not a curated record. Lineage: Eukaryota; Viridiplantae; Streptophyta; Magnoliopsida; Fabales; Fabaceae. The transcript has a single exon.